Molecule: ribosomal RNA, 557 nt
Filed under: Pediculus humanus (human louse)
Lineage: Eukaryota; Metazoa; Arthropoda; Insecta; Psocodea; Pediculidae
Description: partial 12S ribosomal RNA
Source: RNAcentral
UAAAGUCAAAUUAAUUGAUUAAAGCUAAUAAAUAACUACUAUUAAGUACAACAACUCUACUUAUUAUUGUAAGAGUAAAAUCUUUAUAAAUAAGAUAGGAAUGUGUUAAUGUAACAUUAAUUCUCUUACGAGGCGCUAGCAUAAAGACUAGGAUUAGAUACCCUAUUAUGGGCGUGAGUAUGAAAGUUUAUUAAGUUAAUAGCCUUAAUUAAAGCAAAACCUAUUUACUAUGGCGGCUGUUAGUCUCACCAGAGUCGUAUGUCCUUAAACGAAACUGCGCGAUCAUCUUACCUUUUAACUUUUGCUAAUAUAAAAUAAUUACAUUAUAGCAAUCUGGCACGUCGCUGUACUAAAAGUGAAGAUUUUAAAUAACUCAUCUUCUAAUUACUUAUUAGCAUUUAUUAAUAACGUACAAGUCAAGACGCCGUUUUAAGAGGCUUAAGAUGUACGAUUUAAUUGAUUUGAUAGAAUUUAUAAGAAUGAAAACUUUCUUUAUUAAAAUAAUUUGGAAGUAAAAUAGGGUUAUUAUUCUUAUUUGAAAUGAGCUACUAAUAAGU